UACGUAGGCAGCAAGCGUUGUUCGGAAUUACUGGGCGUAAAGAGUUCGUAGGCGGUGUGCCAAGUUUGGUGUGAAAUCUCCCGGCUCAACUGGGAGGGUGCGCCGAAUACUGGCAUGCUCGAGUACAGGAGAGGAAAGCGGAAUUUCUGGUGUAGCGGUGAAAUGCGUAGAUAUCAGAAGGAACACCUGUGGUGUAGACGGCUUUCUGGACUGUAACUGACGCUGAGGAACGAAAGCGUGGGUAGCAAAACGG
Molecule: ribosomal RNA, 253 nt
Filed under: uncultured bacterium
Lineage: Bacteria
Description: partial 16S ribosomal RNA
Rfam family: Bacterial small subunit ribosomal RNA
Source: RNAcentral